CAUGAUUAGCCUAGCUAGGAUUGUUUAGAGGGUAGUCGCAGUCGCCCCAACUCCGACUGGUUAGAUAGCUUUAUCUAUCUAAUUAGUAAGGUGAGAAACAACAUUUGUUGGAAACUUUAAUUUUUUAAGAAAUUAAGGAACUGU
This 144-nucleotide non-coding RNA is filed under the name unclassified sequences. The record is from Rfam.